AUAUGACAUUUAGCUAUGAAUUGUAAUUAUCAAACUAUAUCUAUAGAGUAAUUAGACUAUUUUUAAAUGGGUAUAUGUGAAAGUUUCCCUCUUUACACCCUUAGUAGGUUGCUUCAGCCCAUGCCCAUAGCCCACAACCCAUACUUAAAUUAGGCCCAAAUAUUCAAUCAGAAAUCCCGAAACUGAAAAUCAGAAAUCCCUAACUCAGACACUAAAUCCCAUCUCUCAACUCUCAUCUCCGCUCGCAGCGCUUCUCACUGGCCACUGCUCAGUGCACGCUCGCAACUCGAAGCUCUUUAUAAAGAGAAUAACAGCCUUACCAGGUGACUUGGUCAGUACCCCCCUUAUGAUGCAGUAGUGAUCCCUGAAGGACAUUGUUGGGUUGAAGGUGACAAUCAGGCGUGAAGCUUGGACUCAAGAUCCUUUGGCCCUGUACGUUACAUAAUACUCCAUAUUCUCUUGCUAAUGAAGAUGAAUUUAACAUAGAAAGAAUCCAAUAUACUUUGUAAAGUUUAUUUCUCGAACUAAGAUGAUUUAUUUUUGAUCUCUCUAUAUGAAUAAUCCAUCAAUUUGUGGAGUA
Molecule: long non-coding RNA, 580 nt
Organism: Solanum pennellii
Lineage: Eukaryota; Viridiplantae; Streptophyta; Magnoliopsida; Solanales; Solanaceae
Exons: 2
Source: RefSeq, a predicted model, not a curated record